ACGCUGGCGGCACGCCUAACACAUGCAAGUCGAACGAAGUAGCAAUACUUAGUGGCAGACGGGUGAGUAACAUGUAGGUAUCUGCCCUUUGGCCUGGAAUAACACGAGGAAACUUGUGCUAAUACCGGAUAAGUCUUUACGGAGAAAGCUUUAUGCACCAUUGGAUGAGCCUGCACUUGAUUAGUUUGUUGGUGGGGUAAUGGCCUACCAAGACUGUGAUCAAUAGCUGAUUUGAGAGGAUGAUCAGCCGCAUUGGGACUGAGACACGGCCCAAACUCCUACGGGAGGCAGCAGUGGGGAAUCUUGCACAAUGGAGGAAACUCUGAUGCAGCGAUGCCGCGUGAGUGAAGAAGGCCUUUGGGUUGUAAAGCUCUUUCGUCGGGGAAGAAAAUGACUGUACCCGAAUAAGAAGGUCCGGCUAACUUCGUGCCAGCAGCCGCGGUAAUACGAAGGGACCUAGCGUAGUUCGGAAUUACUGGGCUUAAAGAGUUCGUAGGUGGUUGAAAAAGUUAGUGGUGAAAUCCCAGAGCUUAACUCUGGAACUGCCAUUAAAACUUUUCAGCUAGAGUAUGAUAGAGGAAAGCAGAAUUUCUAGUGUAGAGGUGAAAUUCGUAGAUAUUAGAAAGAAUACCAAUUUGCGAAGGCAGCUUUCUGGAUCAUUACUGACACUGAGGAACGAAAGCAUGGGUAGCGAAGAGGAUUAGAUACCCUCGUAGUCCAUGCCGUAAACGAUGUGUGUUAGACGUUGGAAAUUUAUUUUCAGUGUCGCAGCGAAAGCGAUAAACACACCGCCUGGGGAGUACGACCGCAAGGUUAAAACUCAAAUGAAUUGACGGGGACCCGCACAAGUAGUGGAGCAUGUGGUUUAAUUCGAAGAUACGCGCAGAACCUUACCGACACUUGACAUGUUCGUCGCGACUCUAAGAGAUUAGAGUUUUCGGUUCGGCCGGACGAAACACAGGUGCUGCAUGGCUGUCGUCAGCUCGUGUCGUGAGAUGUUGGGUUAAGUCCCGCAACGAGCGCAACCCUCACUUUUAGUUGCCAUCAUUAAGUUGGGCACUCUGAAAGAACUGCCAGUGAUAAGCUGGAGGAAGGUGGGGAUGACGUCAAGUCCUCAUGGCCCUUACGUGUUGGGCUACACACGUGCUACAAUGGUAUCUACAACAGGAAGCAAGACUGCGAAGUUAAGCAAAUCCCUAAAAGAUACCUCAGUUCGGAUUGCACUCUGCAACUCGAGUGCAUGAAGCUGGAAUUACUAGUAAUCGUGGAUCAGCGUGCCACGGUGAAUGCGUUCCCGGGUCUUGUACACACCGC
RNAcentral lists this ribosomal RNA (1314 nucleotides) under uncultured Alphaproteobacteria bacterium. RNAcentral describes it as "uncultured alpha proteobacterium 16S ribosomal RNA". It matches the Rfam family "Bacterial small subunit ribosomal RNA", at positions 33 to 1393 of the family's 1533-position model. The record is from RNAcentral. Lineage: Bacteria; Pseudomonadati; Pseudomonadota; Alphaproteobacteria.